GUGGAGGGGAGUACUCACAUAUACUAAAAUUGGAACGUUACCGAGAAGAUUAGCAUGGCUCUGUGCAAGGAUGACAUCCACAUUUGUGAGGCAUUCCAUAUUUUU
Molecule: small nuclear RNA, 105 nt
Organism: Tupaia belangeri (northern tree shrew)
Lineage: Eukaryota; Metazoa; Chordata; Mammalia; Scandentia; Tupaiidae
Source: Ensembl